This 435-nucleotide ribosomal RNA is filed under the name uncultured bacterium. RNAcentral describes it as "partial 16S ribosomal RNA". It matches the Rfam family "Bacterial small subunit ribosomal RNA", at positions 29 to 507 of the family's 1533-position model. The record is from RNAcentral.
AGCGAACGCUGGCGGCAGGCUUAACACAUGCAAGUCGAACGGGCAUCUUCGGAUGUCAGUGGCAGACGGGUGAGUAACACGUGGGAACGUACCCUUCGGUUCGGAAUAACUCAGGGAAACUUGAGCUAAUACCGGAUACGCCCUUUUGGGGAAAGGUUUACUGUCGAAGGAUCGGCCCGCGUCUGAUUAGCUUGUUGGUGGGGUAACGGCCUACCAAGGCGACGAUCAGUAGCUGGUCUGAGAGGAUGAUCAGCCACACUGGGACUGAGACACGGCCCAGACUCCUACGGGAAGCAGCAGUGGGGAAUAUUGGACAAUGGGCGCAAGCCUGAUCCAGCCAUGCCGCGUGAGUGAUGAAGGCCUUAGGGUUGUAAAGCUCUUUUGUCCGGGACGAUAAUGACGGUACCGGAAGAAUAAGCCCCGGCUAACUUCGUG